AUUGAACGCUGGCGGCAGGCCUAACACAUGCAAGUCGAACGGUAGCACAGAGGAGCUUGCUCCUUGGGUGACGAGUGGCGGACGGGUGAGUAAUGUCUGGGAAACUGCCCGAUGGGGGGGGAUAACUACUGGAAACGGUAGCUAAUACCGCAUAACGUCGCAAGACCAAAGAGGGGGACCUUCGGGCCUCUUGCCAUCGGAUGUGCCCAGAUGGGAUUAGCUAGUAGGUGGGGUAACGGCUCACCUAGGCGACGAUCCCUAGCUGGUCUGAGAGGAUGACCAGCCACACUGGAACUGAGACACGGUCCAGACUCCUACGGGAGGCAGCAGUGGGGAAUAUUGCACAAUGGGCGCAAGCCUGAUGCAGCCAUGCCGCGUGUAUGAAGAAGGCCUUCGGGUUGUAAAGUACUUUCAGCGAGGAGGAAGGCGUUGUGGUUAAUAACCGCAACGAUUGACGUUACUCGCAGAAGAAGCACCGGCUAACUCCGUGCCAGCAGCCGCGGUAAAAGGG
This 511-nucleotide ribosomal RNA is filed under the name uncultured Enterobacterales bacterium. Its description in RNAcentral is "bacterial SSU rRNA". It matches the Rfam family "Bacterial small subunit ribosomal RNA", at positions 29 to 528 of the family's 1533-position model. The record is from RNAcentral. Lineage: Bacteria; Pseudomonadati; Pseudomonadota; Gammaproteobacteria; Enterobacterales.